This 209-nucleotide ribosomal RNA is filed under the name uncultured bacterium. RNAcentral's name for it is "partial 16S ribosomal RNA". It matches the Rfam family "Bacterial small subunit ribosomal RNA", at positions 524 to 725 of the family's 1533-position model. The record is from RNAcentral.
UACGAAGGGUGCAACGUUGCUCGGAAUUAUUGGGCGUAAAGGCGCACGUGAGGCGGGCUUAGCAAGUCGGAAGAUGAAAGCCCUUGGGCUCAACCCAAGGAAGUGCUUUCGAAACUGCUGAGCUUGGGUAGUUAAGAGGAUCGCGGAAUUCCGGUGAUUAGAGGUGAAAUUCGUAAGAUAUCGGGAGGAACACCAGUGGCGAAGGCGGA